Molecule: non-coding RNA, 73 nt
Organism: Jaculus jaculus (lesser Egyptian jerboa)
Lineage: Eukaryota; Metazoa; Chordata; Mammalia; Rodentia; Dipodidae
Source: the annotation of a RefSeq genome assembly
ACCCGGGUAGAUCAGUUGGUAGAGCAUGAGACUCCUAAUCUCAGGAUUGUGGGUUCAAGCCCCACGUGGGGCG